UACGUAGGAGGCAAGCGUUGUCCGGAAUCACUGGGCGUAAAGCGCGUGUAGGUGGUGGGACAAGUCUGCUGUGAAAGCGCCUGGCUUAACCGGGCGAGGUCGGCGGAAACUGUUCGACUCGAGGACGGUAGAGGGGGGUGGAAUUCCCGGUGUAGUGGUGAAAUGCGUAGAGAUCGGGAGGAACACCUGUGGCGAAGGCGGGCCCCUGGGCCGGACCUGACACUGAGACGCGAAGGCGUGGGGAGCGAACGGG
RNAcentral lists this ribosomal RNA (253 nucleotides) under uncultured bacterium. Its description in RNAcentral is "partial 16S ribosomal RNA". It matches the Rfam family "Bacterial small subunit ribosomal RNA", at positions 524 to 776 of the family's 1533-position model. The record is from RNAcentral.